RNAcentral lists this ribosomal RNA (459 nucleotides) under uncultured bacterium. Its description in RNAcentral is "bacterial SSU rRNA". It matches the Rfam family "Bacterial small subunit ribosomal RNA", at positions 339 to 791 of the family's 1533-position model. The record is from RNAcentral.
GUACGGGAGGCAGCAGUCGAGAAUUUUUCACAAUGGGGGAAACCCUGAUGGAGCGACGCCGCGUGGGGGAUGAAUGGCUUCGGCCCGUAAACCCCUGUCAUUCGCGAUCAACCGUGGUUAUUUAAAAGAUGGCCACCUGAUAGUAGCGGAAGAGGAAGGGACGGCUAACUCUGUGCCAGCAGCCGCGGUAAUACAGAGGUCCCGAGCGUUGUUCGGAUUCACUGGGCGUAAAGGGUGCGUAGGUGGUGAGGUAAGUCGGAUGUGAAAUACUGGAGCUCAACUCCGGAACGGCAUUGGAAACUACCUUGCUGGAGGGUUGGAGGGGGGACUGGAAUUCUCGGUGUAGCAGUGAAAUGCGUAGAUAUCGAGAGGAACACCGGUGGCGAAGGCGAGUCCCUGGACAACACCUGACACUGAGGCACGAAAGCUAGGGGAGCAAACAGGAUUAGAUACCCCGGU